This 42019-nucleotide long non-coding RNA is filed under the name Ananas comosus (pineapple). RNAcentral describes it as "long non-coding RNA (ACOM_LNC021813)". The record is from RNAcentral. Lineage: Eukaryota; Viridiplantae; Streptophyta; Magnoliopsida; Poales; Bromeliaceae.
UAUAUAUAUAUAUAUAUAUAUAUAUAUAUAUAUAUAUACACAGAGAGAGAGAGAGAGAGAGAGAGACUAGCUGCUAUACUAUCGGUAGCACAAAGGCUUCCGUGCUGCCAAGUUGUUUUCGAUUAUACGGCUUCCAAAUCGACGAUCGGCUCCGGUAGACUUGAUUUACACUAGUGAAAGUAUUUGAAAACUAAAUUUCAGAUUUUUUCAACAUCAUUUGACUAGUGAUCAAAAGAUCUCAAAAUUGACAAUUUUAAUGGUCGAUGUGGUGUGUUUGUAAGUUUAACGGUGUAAAACAAUUCAAAUCCGAUAAAAAUUUUAUAGAAAUUUUUUUUUACUAUUUAGAGUAAGAUCAGUAUAUCUCAUCUUAAAUUUAAAUCUUUUAUCAUCAUUUUUUAUGAGAUUUUUAUUUUUAGCCGUUCAAUUUUAGAUUACUUGUUUGAUAGGUAAAUAAUAUCGAAAAAUUAUGAAAUUUAGUUUCUAAAUACUUUUAAUAGUGUAGAUCAAGUCUAAUAGAGUCGAUCGUCGAUUUGUAAGCCGCAUCAUCGAAAACAAAGCCGGACUAUAUAUAUAUAUAGAGAGAGAGAGAGAGAGAGAGAGAGACUAUUAUAUUGUUAAUAGUAUCAAGCAUUUUGUGCUAUUAGAUUUUCAGCCUUUGAAUGAAGGGGCGUGCGUUUAAGAUAAUAAUGAUUCUUUAGAACUGAAUAGGUGGUUGGUUGAAUAGUAUAAUCUAACAGGUAAAAGUAGUCAAAGAGAUAGAUCUAACAGUAGAAAACUCGAUAGCACCAAAUAUUUAGUACUAUCAAUUAAUAGUAUAACAGUCGGACUAUAUAUAAAUAUAUAAUUUUUUUUUAAGCUUAAUACGUGGCAAAAGUAAUAAUUAAAGCGAAGCCAAUUAUAAUUCAGGCCACCAAUUUUUACGUAAUUUAUUUUUUAUCGAACAAAUACUAGAACUAAAAAAAAGUUCAACUCUACAACUAUAGAAAUAAAUACUAAAAAAAUAUAAUAUUGUUGAAAUUUUAAUAUAACUAAUAAAUCUAUUUUAAUCUAAAUUUUAGUUUACAUGCCCAUAAUAUUUUUUUUUUUUUGAAAGAGNUUACUUAGAAAUAUGUAUAAUUAAUUAAUUAUAUAUAAUAAUACUAUUUAAUAUAUACUAAUAUGGAAUUAAAUAUUUUGUUAAUAUAUAAUAUAUUCUCAUAUAUAUAUAUAUAUAUAUAUAUAUAUAUAUAUAUAUUAUUUAAUUUGCAGUUAGGUACUGCGUAGCCAAUAUAUUGUACGUCGCACGAAUAUAAAAGCAUGUAAUGUCGCACAUAAAGGGGCUCUAUAUAUAUAUAUAUAUAUAUAUAUAUUAUAUUAUAUAAUAUACUAAAUAUAAAUAGUGAUAUAAAACAAAGCGGAAGCGGGCAGGAACAUCGUACGUACCCGCAUGUACACGCGGUUGGGCGAGGGAGAUCACACGGCCCACAAUGGCGGCGUGUUGAUGGACGGCUCUGAUGAAAAGGGAGUUAUUGCACAACCGGAUAGCUACGCCGAGUACGGUCACCGUGCCGCGUGUGUUACCGCACGUCAACGGAGGUUGGGAUGUCUAAACGGCGGAAUUGCAUGGAGACCCUUCAACCGCUUUGCGUUUUCGCAAAGGCCCUUAAACUUUAUUUUAGAUUUUAAUUGAGGCCCUCUAGAUUUUUUAAUUUAAAAUUUAAUAAUUAUAGCUAAUUAAAUAAAAAAUUAACAGACCUGUUGAUAAUCUGAUUUUAUAUUUUUUUAGCAAAAAAACUAGAUAAACUUAGCGGCUAAAAGUAUUUAAACUAUUAAAUUUAAUAAAAUUUCUAAAUUUACAAAGGAUAAUGAAAGCCAAGACAAUUUUAAUAAAAGAAAGGUCAAAAAGUAUGGAGACCAUUUUGAUAUAGCCCAUCAGCUUUUUUUUUUUUNUUAAUUAAAAAAUUUAUUAAAAUAAUGAUUUUACUAGGACUUGAGUAAAAAAAAAUCAGAAUUAUUAAUUUUGAUUAAAAUUUAAUAAAUUUGAUAAAAUUUGUUUUUUGAGAAUUAUUGAUACCAAAAUUGAGCCGACCUAACCCACGUAUGAACCAAUAAGGACACGUGGUACACCAGGAGUCGGCAAUAAGGCGCCUAAAGGACAAGAAGGCGGGAACGGUUGAAGAUUGGGGCGUAACUUUCAUGAGGAGUUAGCGUAACUUUCAUGAGGAGUUAGUAUAACUUCCACGAUCAUGGUUACAACCACUCCCCCCCAACUACUUUCAACCAACUAAUAAUGUAGGCUAUAAAUAGUAACUUUGAAGCCUGCAAUAAGGGUCUUCGCCCCUGCGCACAAAAGACCACCCUUAUUUCCUCUGCAUUUUAUUGCUUUUCUAGAAGUAGUCUAAAUGUAAUUUUUUUCUUUUCCGCAUUUACUGCUUUUCUGGAAGUAGUUCGCUAAGUAGAUCUUUGGAGUUUGUCUGCCCCAUGGGCAUCACUCCCUUAUAGAAUAUACUUGGAGUCUGUCUGCCCUAUGGGCAUCACUCUCUUGUAGAAUGUACUUGGAGUCUGUCUGCCCUACGGGCAUCAUUCCCCUGUUUGUGUACUUUUUCCUUUUGCUAUUCAAUAGAAAGUCAUUUUCGGCUCUUCCUGCCGAUCAGAUCACAAGUUGUUUGGCCAUUCGGCUCGUUUCUUAGUCGAAUUCUGGGCUUCCCUUCUCCAUUCGGCUCAUUCUGCCGAAGUGACUCUACUGCAAAGGUUUUCGAACCCGGUUGAUUCGAUUCCUCAUUGGCCUAAUCGCUUGAUCCUCUGUGGGAGCAUACUUCGAGGGUCGUAAUCCGCAGCCGUCUCGCAUCUCGACGAUCUUCCCGAUGAGUGUAUUUUGACCUAGUCAAGGGUCGGGACUUUCGGCCACCAACAAAUUUUGGCACGCCCGGUGGGACAUAUUUUUAGGUAAAUUUAUAAUUUAUGCCUGAUGAUCUACGUAAUAGGGUUGUUUCUAGAAAUUCUGGGAGUGAUCAACCUAUUGAUUCAGACAAUGCUGGCGAAUGUCAAGUAGUUUUGCCAGUUGAAGGAGAAACUAGUGGACAGUCGGCUCAUCAAGAGCCGAGUCUAACUCAGGCACUCGGCCAGAUGAGCCGAGUCCUGCAAACUUUAGAUCAAAAUAUCCAUCAAAGUACCGCUCGACUAGACGCAGUGCUGGUCGCUAUCACGGCCUAUAAUGAAAAUAUUGCACGAAUAGGACAAUUAUUGACUCGAAAUGAGCAACCAAUGACAGACUUACAAAGGCCUAUGAUGACACCAGUGUUGCAAAAUCCUGCGACAUCGGUAAAUGGACAGCCCCAAUACUGGGGGGCACCAUUCCAAGCGGUUUACAGAUCGGUCGUCGUCAAUACCGAUCAACAGCCGAAAAUUACAUAGGGAUUGCCACCACCUCCGCCGAUGGCAGCAUACCAAUCCCAAAAUUUAGGGGCUAGAGCUGGGGGGCAAGCCCCUAAUGAUAUGCAAGGAGCGAACUCUGUAAUACAGAAUUCUGGAGUUCCUCAAGGGCCAAAUUCGGCUCAAGCACAAGCUCCGCUGUAUGCUCAGAUUGAGGAAGUCAUUCAGAAUACCUUCGGAGUAGGGGCCAGGCCAGCUAUGCGGCCUGUUUUUCGAUCCCCGUAUCCAGCAAACAUAGAUACAGAGCAUCCGUAUCUGGCAAACUGGAAAAUGCCGAAGUUCGACAAGUUCUCGGGCGAUAAGACCGAGAAUACGGUUGAGCAUAUAGCCCGGUUCACGGCCCAAUGUAGAGAAGCGGCCGCUAACUCAUUUUUGAAACUUCGAUUAUUUAAUACGUCGUUAACUAAAACGGCGUUUACUUGGUAUACAAGUUUAUCAGCCUAUUCCGUCCAAGAUUGGGAUGAAUUGGAAAGAAAAUUUCAUAAGCGAUUCUAUAGAUCGGAGCCACAAUUAUCGGUCGCCGACUUGGCUUUAUACCGACAAAUGUCAGGUGAAACGGUCGAAGAGUAUUUGGACCGUUUCAAAAUAGCCAAAACCCGGUGCUUUAUGAGAAUGCCGGAAUCAGAGUUUGCCAAAAUGGCGUUAAAUGGUCUACAUUUUAAGAUAAAAGACUAUUUUGAAGAUAAGUAUUUUUCUAACCUAUUUGAUCUAGGUGUUCGAGUUACCUAAUACGAGCAAUUUCAGAAGAAAAGUGAGGACGAUCGGCUACAAUUGAGCCGAUAUAAAAAUCAAAGCAAAGGCAAGGAGAAAUCCUUGCUAGAAGAACAGUCGGUUCAAGAAGAGCCGAGCCAAUCGAGUGAAAGUGAAGAAUCGGCUGAUGAAGCCGAGAUAUAGCCACUUCCUUUAAGAAGAAUUUCCUGAUAGAAAAGCAUUCGGUUCAAGAAGGGCCGAACUAAAGUAAAGAAUCGGCUGAUGAAGCCGAGACAUAUGUGGCUGGGAUGAUAAAGCGUCGUUUUCCUAAAGCCGACCAAGACCAGCGAAACUAAAGCUUGGGUCUCGGCUGUGCUUUUGAACAGUCGAUUUGGCACCAAUAGUCAUCCGAAUGUUCAUUCGAAAGACUAUUGGGGGGGUAUUGUUGAUACCAAAAUUGAGCUGACCUAACCCACGUAUGAGCCAAUAAGGACACGUGGUACACCAGGAGUCGGCAAUAAGGGCCUAAAGGACAAGAAGGCAGGAACGGUUGAAGAUUGGGGUGUAACUUUCAUGAGGAGUUAGCAUAACUUCCAUGAGGAGUUAGUAUAACUUUCAUGAUCAUGGUUACAACCACUCGCCCCCAACUACUUUCAACCAACUAAUAAUGUAGGCUAUAAAUAGUAACUUUGAAGCCUGCAAUAAGGGUCUUCGCCCCUGCGCACAGAAGACCACCCUUAUUUCCUCUGCAUUUUAUCGCUUUUCUAUGAGUAGUCUAAAUGUAAUUUUUUUCUUUUCCGCAUUUACUGUUUUUCUGGAAGUAGUUCGCUAAGUAGAUCUUUGGAGUCUGUCUGCCCCAUGGGCAUCACUCCCUUAUAGAAUAUACUUGGAGUCUGUCUGUCCCAUGGGCAUUACUCUCUUGUAGAAUGUACUUGGAGUCUGUCUGCCCUACGGGCAUCAUUCCUCUGUUUGUGUACUUUUUUCUUUUGCUAUUCAAUAGAAAGUCAUCUUCGGCUCUUCCUGCCGAUCAGUUCACAAGUUGUUUGGCCAUUCGGCUCGUUUCUUAGUCGAAUUCUAGGCUUUCUUUCUCUAUUCGGCUCAUUCUGCCGAAGUGAUUCUACUGCAAAAGUUUUCGAACCCGGUUGAUUCGAUUCCUCAUCGGCCUAAUCGCUUGAUCCUCUGUGGGCGCAUACUUCGAGGGUCGUAAUCCGCAGCCGUCUCGCAUCCCGACGAUCUUCCCGAGGAGUGUAUUCUGACCUAGUCAAGGGUCGGGACUUUCGGCCACCAACAAGAAUAAUAAAAUUUCUAAUUUAAUAAAAAUGUUAUAUAAAAGGAAUUAAAAUUUAAGGAGUCAUGUUCAAUUGUAAUAUAGGUGAAGGGUGUUGUCAUAAAUUGUUACCUAACUUACUCGAUUUGAGGUAUCAAUCGAAUUAAAAACCGGUUUCGGGUCAAAUUCUGGAAAGGGAAAUAACAGCUCACUCCCGAAUUCGGUUUCAAAUUUCCGUGUCCUCCGUGCGUAGAAAUUUUCGACCCCACUUCGUAACUCCCAACGGCUGCGUCAGGAGGGAAACGGAAAAGCGGAAACGGGAAACGGUUCCGCAAGCGAAGAUGCGUUUCCGAAGUGGAGGGCGAGAGUCGCUCCGCUACUCGAGAAGCGGGGGAGGUCGCAGAUAUUAUUCGAGUGUGCGGGUGUGGAUACACCCGGUGCACCGCGCGCCACACGUUUAUAAUUAGUUUGUGCAUUUUUAUUCUCUGUAUAUACGAGUUUUUUAAUUCUCCACUGAUUGUAGCAGUUUUUCAAUUUUUGUUAUUUAUCUGGAUAUAUAUAUUUUGUUUUAGGAAUGUAAUUAUACUGUUUGCAUUUACUUCUAAUAUAUAUACUAUUAGUUGCGUAUAAAAUUAAAUUUCAUAUCUGUUUUAUAAAAUUAAAUAACAUGUUUAUUCUAUAAUUUUUAAAAUUAUUUGGCAUAUAUUGAUAUUGCCUCUAUAUUGUCAAACAUCAAAAAAAAAAUCUGUAAUUUUAAGUAUAAAAUAAAUCCGAACUUAAAAAAUCAAAUUUUAAAUUAAACUACACACAUACGAAGGAACCGACCGUCCCUAAUGCAAAUGGCAAAGAACUUGAUGGUGGGUAACUAAGGUCCCAAGUUCAAAUCUUAACUGAUUCACAUUUCCAGCUCAAUUUAUUUUUUUUAAAAAAUAAACGAAACUGAAAAGUUCAAAUCCUAACUGAUUCACAUUUAAAUAAACGAAACGGAAGCCGUAGCAUACUACCUCUUAUGUUUUAGUGGUGGAUUUUAUAUGUGGAUUUUUUUUCGGAUAGUAUGCUAUUUUUAUCUUAAAAAAAAACAUUCUUAUGAUAUUUUAGUGGUGGGUUUUUAUAUGUAGAUUUUUUUUUUAAAAAAAAGACAUUUUAGAUUAGAAAUUUUUUAGCGAAAUAUCAAGAGUGGUGUACGAGAUGCAAGUAGAUACACCGGGUUCAGGUAGUAUUUUCGAAGUUAGUAGAACAGAGGAAGAGAAGAGUGUUUACCGGCUGUAUGUGGAGUCGGGACUCGGGAGUGAUUGGACGACGCGUGUGCAGUUGCCAGCUGUAUGCAAGCAACCGCCCCCCUGGCACCGGUCGCCCCUUUUACCGGCUGCUCCCGGUCACCCAUCCCCGCUCCCUCUCUUAUUUAACCUCCCCCCGCACCCGCUCCUCAACGCCCCCCAUUCCCCUCUCGUCUCCCUCCUCCCUCGGCUCGUUCGGAACCAAAAAAAAAAAAAAAAAAAAAAAAAAAAAAAAAAAAAAAAAAAAAGAAGCAAAAGGAAAAAAUUAGGGUUAGGGUUUGGGGUUUUUUUUGUUUUUUUUUUUGUAUACGAACCGGUUGGAUUCGAUCGCGGUGGAAGUGGGUUUAGGGUUAGGGUUUUUGGGUAUGGCGGGGGGGACGGGGAGCAGGAGCAAGGAGGCGAUGAUGGCGAUGGAUCGGAUCAAGGGGCCGUGGAGCCCGGAGGAGGACGAGCUGCUGCAGCGGCUGGUGCAGGAGCACGGGGCGAGGAACUGGUCGCUGAUCAGCAAAUCCAUACCUGGGAGGUCGGGGAAGUCGUGCCGGUUGCGGUGGUGCAACCAGCUCUCGCCGCAGGUGGAGCACCGCCCCUUCACGCCCGAGGAGGACGAGACCAUCCUCCGCGCCCACCACCACCACGGCAACAAGUGGGCCACCAUCGCCCGCCUCCUCUCCGGCCGCACCGACAACGCCGUCAAGAACCACUGGAACUCCACCCUCAAGCGCAAGCUCUCCCCCUCCGACGAUCGCCGCUCCGCCGGCGCCGGAGCCGCCGCGGCGGAUAGGGACGAGGCGGCGGCGCGGCCGCUGAAGCGCGCGAGCAGCGUCGGGCCCGUGCUCUCCUCGGGCCUCUGCUUCAGCCCCGGGAGCCCCGCGGGGUCCGACCUCAGCGACUCGAGCCACCACAGCCAUCCCGCCGCCGCGCAGCUCUACCGCGCCUCCACCGCGCCCUCCGCCUCCCUCCACCCGAUCGCCGCCGCCGCCGACGACCCCGCCACCUCCCUCACCCUCAGCCUUCCCGGCUCCUACCAGGGCGACGCCGCGCCGGCGCCGUCGCCGGCGCCGGCGCCGCCUCCGCCGAGCGCCGCAGCCGCGACGGAGUCGCCGUCGCCGUCGCCGUCGCCUUUCCAGUUCAGCUCCGAGUUCGUCUCGCUGAUGCAGGAGAUGAUCCGCGACGAGGUGCGGAGCUACAUGCUCGGCCUCGAGAAUAGCGGCGCCGCCGCGAAGCGGAUCGGCGUCGCGAAGUUCGACUAGGGCUAGGGUUUCGAAGAAACGAAGAAGGAGGAGGCACGAUGUGCAGUAGAGGACGGCUUCUACCUUAUAUCUCUUAUUAGGAUUUUUUUUUUUUUUUUCCCGUUUAUUUAAGUCUCUUCUCAAUCAAUCUCCUCUUCUCUUUCCCUCUCCUCCUUCAGGGAGUUCAAAAUUUCUUCUCACAACACCAAUAAGUUGGUUGGUUUGUUUUUUGUACAGAAGAGAAAUCUAGAGAUCGCUCGGAUCUAACAAAAAAAAAGAAAAAAGAAGAGAAACUAUUUGAUGCAAUUUGUUUUUCUUUCAUCUUGUAGGUUGUGUUUGUGUGUUCUUCUUAAGUUAUUAUUCCUUCUCUUUUUCUCUACUUGUUUCAAAUUUUUUAUUUUAAAAAUUCCCAGUUGCUCCAACGUUAAAAAUUUGAAACGGUUGGGGUAGGGGAGAAAGAGAUCGAUCGAACUCGGGGGGAACUGUUAUGAGGUGAUGAGUAAGCGACAGCUAAUAACUGAUUCAGUUUUCGACGGUAUUUAUAUUCUUGGUAAGGGUGUGUGUUGGUACUACCAAACAAGUGCCCAAUAACGUCCCCACUAACCGAAAAUGGUCUUAUUAUUAUUAACUAUUAAUUAAUCAUUAUUAAUAAUAAUUUUGUGUUCAUGGGGGAGGUCACUGGUCACCAUCCGUGCUGAGGCUAAAGAGAUUCAUGGUUAUCGCCUCGUAAUGAUCGUAAACCACUGCUUGGAACGGGUCCACCACCUCACCCAUGGAAAUUAUUUGCCUUUUUCCAACAGUUUAACUGUAAUUAAUUUUAUCAAAGGGUCUCUUAACAUAAAAAAAGAAGAAUAAAAUUAUGUGCUAUUCCCUGUUGUUUUACUAGCAUUAAUAACUCGGGCGCAUCUGACCUGGUGGACCGGGUCCAUCCAACGAACUCGGCGUAACGACCCCCCCCCCCCCCCNAAAGCUCCGGGAUUAGCGAACGGUCUCAUUAUACUGAAAUGGACCGACGCGGUCGCUGCUGGUUUUUAUUUAAUUUUUCUCCUUUUUUUUUUAAUUUUAUCUUAUAAUGAUUUUGGGUUGGAUCGUAAAUUCGGAGAGAGAGAGAGAGAGAGAGAGAGAGAGAGAGAGAGAGAAAAAAGCGAGCGAUAUGUCGUUUGCAUGCCAGCUGUGUUCAAAAAAGGCGCUUCUUUUGGAUCCCCUUUCAAAUCCCCCAUUUCAUCCAUAUGCGAAUAAGCAAAAGCGUGUAUCACAUGUUUGGGACCUCGCUUUUUUUCGACCAUAAAUAUUUAAUUAAUAUUAUUAUUUAGCUUAUUAAAAUUUCAUCCUCACUUGAAAAUUAUAUUUUUCAAAAUAGCAUAAUUGAUUUCGUCGCGCUCCAACUUUGACGCUAUUCUAAGGAUUUAAGUAAUGCGAUAUGGGAUCCUGCCAAUAAUUUGUCGGUACGGUGCGUGCCGAACCGUGCCGAUUAGGAAUGUCAAUCGAUACGAACAUCCAAAGUUUUAUUCGAACCCGAAUCUGAACGGAGCGAAUUUAUCGGAUGCUAAAUGGAUAUGGUUUCGGAUAUGGAUAUCAAAAAUAAAAACUCGGCGGAUAUGAAUACAGAUAUAAAUUUUGACUGUACCCGAUCCGAACCCGACUUUAUUUUAUAUUAUAUAUAAUAUGUAUAUCAAAAUUUGAUAUUAUAUUUACAUUUAUAUUUUAAAAUUUUAAAUUUAAUAUAAUAUAUUUUGAAAUAUUGAAAAGAUAAAUAAUUGCUUCGGGUUCGGAUUUCGGGUUCGGGUUUUUGGUCGAGUUUGAAUUUGGAUAUGGAUUUUUAAAAUAUCCGCUCCGAAUCCGACCCGUUGACAUUCCUAGUACCGAUGCGUUUCGAUAACAAAAAAUUUAUGUGUGUUGACACAUAAUAAUAUGAAAUAUUUAUUUUCUUUAGCAACAAAAUAUUUUAACUGUUUAUUAUAUAUUUUAAUUAAAUAUUUUAAAUUUUAUUAAAAAAUUAAUUACUAAUUUAAAUAAUAGAGUGUUUUGAGAUAUGCCAUCGGUACGGAGGUUGUAUUGUACCAAUAUUUUAUUGACACGAUAUGUCACGGUAGAUGCGGCUCAUGUCGAUUGGCGCUUAAAUUCUUGCGCUGUUCACUUUUAACUAAACAAAAAACUAUAUAAAUAAACAAUAGAUGAAAAAUAAUUUACACCUAAGUUGUAGUUAACGCAUAAGUCUACUACAAACAGGCUUUGGCUUUGAAAAUAAAACAAAAUAAAAUUUGUUUUGAUCGUUGCAUACUUAUUUUUUAUUUUUUUAAUUCACUAUAAAUUUACUUUGUUUGUAAUUCUACUUUUCUUAGACAUCAGAAUUAAGUUUGCCAAAGAAUAACAAAAUUUUCUAUUGUAAUUUUUUUUUAAUCUUUUUAUUUACUAGUGUAAAUAUUUUUAGUAAACUAGAUACAAUAUGUGGAAUAGUUAUAGUUUCAAAGCUAUUGAUUUUCAAAUAAAUAAGGAUAUAAAAUAGUUUUUUUUGUUGUAAUAAUUAUUUCAAUUAAAGAACAAAUAACACCCUCAAAUUACAAAAAAUUGUAGUGUGUGUAUAUAUAUAUAUUCAUACAUAUAUCCAUCCAUCAAACAUUUAAAUAUCAUGAACAUUCUUGUAAAGCUAGAAAUAUGAUCAAAUAUUUAUACUGAAAUAACAUAAUCCGAUUUUCGAGUCAUGUUUUUGACAAUAAGAUAAAUCAAUUUUUAAGUAAAACACACUAUCCUAUCAAAUUAUUGAUGUUGAGGUUUUUAAGGAGCAAAUGUCAAACUCUUAGCUCUCAAUUACGAGAGAAAAAUCUUAUUGUUGUAUUAGUUAUCAUCAGAUAACAAAUUUCGAUAUCUAAAAAGGUCCAAGUUGGGAGAAAAUUUAGUGUGUCAUAUUUACACCACAUCAGUAAUAACAAUUCAAUCAUAUCUCUUCUUUUAGAAAAAAAGUAUAACAAAAAUAAUUUUUUAUAAUUAUGAUGUGACAUAUUAACCCAAAAGAAUCUUUUUGAUUGGUUGAGAACAUCAUAUCACAUCACCAAUAUAAUUGGUGCAUUCUAAAAUUUUUCCUAAGUUAGAUAAUGGUGCAAUUUACUCUCUCCAAACUUAAGGAAGUGGAGUUUGUGUUUCCAAGUAGAUCUCAGAUGGGCCUGAGCUAAAUCGGUCCGAUACAAGUGAGGAGAGGUCCAGCCCAAUAAAUCAGGUUGGUCUGGGCCUGAACGGUGGGGCUCGUUUGGUAUCGAGAUCUAUUUAAUGCUAAUAAAAAAACAAAGAGUCAGAUCGAAAGCAUAUGCUAAUAUGUUUCUGAGUUCGUCGGUGCGGAAAAUACAUGAAAUAUAUAGUAAUCGACUCAUUAUAAUAUGCAGAACGCGAUAUUAUACACGAAAAGAAACAAUAUGUUUUGUUCUUUUCCACGAAACUUUUAUUUACUUUGUAAAGUUUGAUCCACCUGGGGCGAAAUUUUAUGAGCUUUGUUUCGGGCCGGGUCGACAUGGCCUGAGUAAAUUUGCCGUGGAUUUGAGCCUGGCCUGGCACGGAUUUUGUUCAGGUCCAAACUUGAGUCGUGGGUGUACCUUUCGGUCCGUUCCUAUUACCCUUCUAGAGGAAAAUUUAUUGAAUGCACCCGGUGUACAUAUGUGCACUCCAAUAUAAUUCAAUAAACGUGACAUAAAAUAUCUAAAGAGAUUCUAUUAAAAAUUUAGUGAUUCAGGCUUAGUUUGGUAUUAAGUCCUAUCUAACGCUAUUAGAUAAAAUGAAGUUAAGGAAAAAGCAUAUAGGAAUAUGUUUUUGCAUUAUCCGGUGGGAUCGUAGAAAAUAUAUCGUAACUGACUCACCACGAUAUGCGGAACGUAAUAUUAAUUAUGUAAACAAACAGAGUAUUUUUUCAACGUACUUUCUCACAGCACGUAAUACAAUCAUUAAAAAUUUGAUGAUUUAAAGCCUCAACUAAAGGAAAAAGAAAGAAAGAAUUUGAUUCAUGAAAAAUUAGUAUUUGAGAAUAAUUGUGUCUUUUAUUAUUAAUAAUAUAUAAUAUAGGAUUAUUAAAUUUUUGUGACUAUAUUUUAGAAUUUAAGGAGAAAGUAUUUUCUGUCACAGUUGUCCUACGCUGAAAUAAUAAUAUUCAAUCAAAAUGCCUAUAUAUUGCAUAAAAGUAUGGAGGUAAAUAUUUCUAAAAUAUUAUGUUAAUGUAAAAUUAUUAUAUUUUUUUUAAAUUAGAUUUUUUUUAACUAUCUCGUAUGGCACAACAUAAUUAUUUUAAUGUAUAUUCUAUGUGGUGCAUUAGUUAUAUAAUAAUAUAAUAAAAUUUUUUCAAAUUCGAGAUCUUAUACUAGAAAGUUUUUUUUUUUAUAGUAGUUAUUUAAUAAAUAUAUAUAAUGAUAUUUAAUCAAAGACAUUAUCAUCAUACAACAGUACAAUAAUUUUUUUUAACAUCGUUUUGAUAUAAAAUUAUUAUUUUACUUCUGAUUAGACUCAUUUUCAUUGAAGUAUAUCCUACAUGGUAUAACUGUUAAAAACUCUUUCAAAAUUUGAGCCCUCGCUCGGGAGGAAGUCUACUAUAUAGCAGUACACCACAUCAUCUACAUUUAGUCAAUUAUAUUUUUUAUUUUGAUAUAAAAAUAUAAAAAAAUAAUUUUUUUUAAAAUCAUAAUGAGAUGAGUUCAACUCUAAAAAAAUAAUUUAAUCAAUUGGAGAGGCCACGUCCUCAGUGUGACCGCUGCAUUUUAGAUUUUUUUUUGGCCCAUAUUAUUUGUGGGGAUUUAAACUAGCGGUGUAUACGCUGUGGUUAUGCACCGGGUGCAGGCAAUUGUUUCAAUAUUCUAGAAAAAGAAAUUGAGGAAGGCCUUCCCCUAUUCUUCAGCUUUCUUCCUUUUCUUUAUUUCCCCUCCUUCAAGUUCGAGUGCAGACUGCCCACCCCUUAUUCAAGUUCGAGUGCGGACUGCCCACUUCUCGCUUCUCUCUGCGGCCGCCGCCGUCUCAGGUCAUUAUUUUUAUUAGUUUUAUAUUUUUCUUUUUCUCAAAAAAUGUAAUUAGACACCCUCAGACUAUUUCGAAAUAGUUCUCUCAACUCCAUAUUUUUGGAUCGACCCCUCCCCAAACUGCUUGCUUUUCUGAGUUCUUAUGCUUCAUUAAAUUGAAAAUUUUUGUUUCCUUGAGUGCUGUAGAUUUAUUUGCUAGAAAAAGUUUAGCUGAAUCAAUGUUGAAUUUAAUAAAAUCCUUAGUUUAACUGAAUAAAAUCAUACAAAUCAAAAGAAAAAAAAAAGUUUGGGGCAAUUUCAAAAUUUGCCUAAAUCCAACAAAAUCCAUGUGUGUGGAUUCACCAGAAGAUUUUUUUUUUUAAUUCUUUUUUUCACUCUCAGUUGGUAAAAGAUUGCAUAUGAAAGGACAUACUACAAACCCAGCUACUUGAAUAGGCGAAAUUAAGCCUGCAUAUCUCCAAAUUUGAAAGGAAUAGUUAGCAAUUAUAAAUGGUAGAUUCUUGAGAGAAGCACACAACAAAUGUUCAUACAGUUUAUGCGCCGUGCAAUUUAACCGCUUGUUGACGAAGUUCUCUUUAUUUUCACAGGCUUGGUGGAAGUAAUGGCCAGGCUCAAGGGGCUUCCUGGGUUUCUUGAAUCAAUUACUCGGGGAAGAUUUCGUCAGGUUACGAUACUUUUCUUCUUUUCAGCACUCUUUCAUAUGUUUUAGUGCGGUCGGUUAUUGAUUUAUGGCGAUCGCUCUGUGUCAUAUUAGGCAUGGUUUUAAUUCCAUCAUCCCAAAGCUUUUAGGCUACGGUGCCGCAACUACAAUGGACCUAGUUUCAGCUGUUUUUAAAUUUCCUUAAAAGUUUUUCUCUUUUCCUCCUUAUAUACGGUGAAUUUCUGAUGACUUUGAGUCUGUUAAAUUAUAUGUAACAAUUAUUUUUCUUUAAAAGAUUAAGCUAUCAGAGAAGGAUGUUUUUAUAUUUUUAUAUUCAAUACUUCCCCUCAUGUUGGGGCUCAAAAUAUUUUGAUAGAGCAAGACAUGGGCUUAAAUGGGAGAAAAGUAAAUAACGCCAGGAGUUUGGAGAAACUUCAACUCAGGAUCUUGUACUCUGAUACCAUAUUAAGCUUUUGGAGAACAGAGGUUUAUGAGCAGGUGCUCAGCAUGCCGGGAGAUUUUUGAUAGUAACGGUAACAUAGGAAUUAUUUACUAACAUAUCUCACUCCCUUGAAGACUUUUAUUGAACGAUUUAUUGGACUUUAAUAUUCUCCAAUUUGGCAGCUUGUUGGUUUCUUUGAUAUGUUUUGCAUUAUGUUUCCCAAUAAUUUCACAGAUCUUUCCACUCAAUAUGUGAGGUCUAUUUGUGAAUGACUAGUUUUCGGUGCUUUUAUCAACCCUUACUAUUGUCAGCUGUUCGUAAACAAGAGCUGGUCCUUAUGCACCACCGUUCAUGUGUUACAGGUUAUACCUUUGUCAGCUUCUGGCGGUUCUUCAACUAAAUAUUUUCGAUAUUUAACCGUUUCUGCUGCAACUUCAGAACAAAGCAAUGCGAGAACGCCGCCAACGGUAGAUUCCAAUGAUGCAAAACAGACGGGAGAGUCUGAUAAGACAGAAUCUGAUAAAAAGCCUGUUCGCGGAGGGGUAUGAAUAUAACACGCCUAAUCUAAGUGAGAGAUCUUCUGUGACAAGUGAGACAUGAUGUGUCGCUUCUAAUUGCUCUAGCUGCUCCAGUGGCUAUAUGAAAUGUUACAAGAAGCCAUUGACUUAUGGAGCAUUAUAUUUACAUAACUCUACCUUGUGAGAACCUCUUUUCAUGGUUCUAAUAUGUGUUCGUAGCAUUGGUGAUCCGCGAGUGUGUCCUUUAGUUGUAAAUGCCUGUGAAUCCCACCCUGCCAUCUCAUUUAGGAUAUGGAUUGGAUAAAUUAUGGAGAAUCGAAGAUAUAAGUUGUAUCUGGAGAAGAGGCAGCUCGUUCCUGUUCCUUUCUUCUAUCUUUUUUUUUUUCCGUUACGCUAAUUGCCUUCUUCUCGCUGCUGGAGGUGUAUACAAUUCCUUUAUCAUUUUUUGUUGAUGGUAGAUAAAUUUAUUUGUAUGGUUGGGAAACAUAAUUCUUAUUGUUGUCAUCUUAUUAGUAGAAGAUAAUGAUUUUAUGUACUUAAUGCCUAAUGCAUAUUCUUCUUUGCUGCGAGUCUCUUUUCUUUUCUCUCUGAUCAUUAGCUAUUUGGACGUAUUUUUGUAGCAAAUCUUUUGAUACAUUCGAACAUCUACAAGUCUUCAGCUUUUAGCACCUAUAUGCCUCCUUAUGUUUUUGCCUACUAUGCAUGCUCAUAUGAUUCCUUGGAUGCCAAAAUGCUUGCUUAGUUACUAUGAUUAGAUUUCCGGUCAAUUAAAUUUGGAGGAUUAUUUUUCCUUAAAUCUCAACCGAUCAGUUGGGCUUAUGUUGCAGCCUGUGUCAUGGUUGAGCCUUGUUUUGCUUGUUCUGACUGGAGGGGGACUACUUGUUUAUUACGACAGAGAAAAGAAACGGCACAUCGAAGGUAGAUUACUUGUUGACAGGAAUUCAUUACGAACACAUUAUUGUUGAAUCCUUUUUUCUCCGUACUUUUAUCUAUUAAUGCCGGGUCCCGUAUUUCCAGAAUUGAAGGCGAGAUCAAGCGUGGUGAAGCCCGGACCGUCCGUAGGCACUGCUGCUAUUGGCGGUCCAUUUAAGCUUGUGAACCACGUCGGAAAACCUGUCACCGAAAAGGACUUUCUUGGGAAGUGGACGCUGAUUUAUUUUGGUUUCACCCACUGCCCUGACAUUUGUCCUGAUGAACUCCAAAAAAUGGCUGCUGCUGUUGAUAAGAUUAGUAAGUCGCUCACCCCUGCUGUUCUUUGAUGGAGCUAUAAGUUUUUCUGGACUUCAGAAAGUGCGGAGAAAAGUUUUUUUUUGAGAGAAAGGUAGCAGGCUACCCGCUUCGUUUACUUCAUUUAGAAACAAACUAAGCUGGAAAUGUGAAUCAACUAGGAUUCGAACUUGGGUCUCGGGUACCAACCACCAAACCCUUUUGCCACUUGCGCUACGGACGGUCGGUUGCGGAGAAAAGUUAAUCCAUCUGAAGCAUGCGGUAUUCUUGUAAUCACCGGCAUAAAUAUGUCAGUCAAUUAUCACACAGGACUUGAGAGGAAAAACAAUAACAGAAACAUAAACAAUGCCGAAAUUGGCCUUCGUUUUCGAUAUUCAUUUACUGAAGCAGUUCAGCGUUUUGGAAUGUACGCGUUUGAAUAAACCUUGAAGGUUUAUUCUACACGCGUGGAGCUAGACCCCACCACCCACCCAUAUGAAUAGCGAAGCGAAGCCUUACCCAGAUCGAGAUGAGAAAGACAGGGCAAUUCCCAAGCAUCACCCACACAAAUGUUUAAUCGAAAGCUUUCUUUCUUUUCUCUUUAAUUCGUUCGACAUUUAAUAGUGUCACAAUGUGUCUUUCUCGUCCUGUUUCUUGCAGAAGAAAAGGCAAGGAUAGAAAUUGUACCUGUUUUUAUUUCAGUCGAUCCAGAGAGAGACACCGUUGAGCAGGUUCAUGAUUAUGUCAAAGGUGGUUUUUCAUCUUUUUAUUUUGGUAGCGGGAAUGCAACAUUUUUCUCUAGAUUCUCUUGAAUGUAAUGCUCAAAGUCAUCAUAUCACAUGGCAUUUUUACUUUAUUUUUUUACUUUAUUUUUUUAGGAUUAUGUUUGUGCACUUAAAUGACACUAUUUUAUUUGUUGCACUGUUGAAAAUAUUUUCUUUUCUCUUGCUAUGCAGAAUUUCAUCCAGAUUUAAUAGGAUUAACUGGCACACCGGAUGAGAUACGACAAGUGGCCCGUGCAUAUCGAGUUUAUUACAUGAAGACCGAGGAGGAGGACUCCGAUUAUCUUGUAGAUCACUCUAUUGUCAUGUACGUAAUCCGUAUACACUAAAUUUAUAUGAAUCACGAGCACGCAGCAGAUCAUCAAUGUGGGUUGUCGAGCAAUGAUUUUGUUUUCAUACAUGCACGAUUGAUAACAUUUUUUAAAAAAAAGUUUGAGCAGUAUUAUUUUUUUCUGAAUUUUCUUAUAUUUUCAGGUACCUGAUGAACCCCAAAAUGGACUUUGUUAAAUUCUUCGGCAAGAACUAUGAUGCAGAUGCACUCGCAGAAGGUAUUAUAAGAGAGAUAAAAGGAAGCAACUGAAUAGAUUUCUGAGGAUUUUUUUUUUCAAUCUUCGGCGGAGGUAUUCUUUGUUUCCUCCGAGUUUUUCUAUUCGUCAUUUAAUUUUCGAUGAUUUUAAUCGUUGCUACUGAUGCGAUGUUGGUGAUUAUCCUUUGUGAAAGUGUUGUUAUGUUCUGUAAAAUUUCACUUCCUGUUUCAGAAAAAUUUUGAUAGUUGAACUUGCAUUUCAGUCGAAAUUUUUUGCGUUCGAUUACUUACUGCUGUUACUGAGCGGAAGUUGACAGGUGAUUUUUCUAUUGAUUUGUAUCAGAUUUAUUGAAUAUGGUUGAAUUCAGUAUAUAACGAUAAAAUUUAAUAAAUCUAUUUGUCAAUAUAAAAGUCAAUUUUGGUACUUAACGCGGUUCCUUUCUAUAUAAUAAUCCAUCAAUUUCGUAGCGCUUGGAAUCCAUGGUGAAAUGCUCACGUUGCUGGGCUAAUGUGACAUUAUUUACACGUGCUAAUGGGACAUAUUUUUAUUAAAAUUCAUGUGUUUUUUUCCUUUUAUUUAUGUAACGUCGCCAUGAAUGCCAUGUUCAUGUGCAUUAAUACUCCGAAAAUAAAAUAAAAAGGAGUAUGAUGAUGUUAACAAAAGAAAAGAAAAAAAAAAAAAUCAAAGAAUGUGAUGUGCAUGAAUGCUGUGAGGCUAUCCUGCUUUAGGAUUUUUUUUUCUUUUUUCUUUUUUUUCUGGUAUAUGAAGGAAAAUUAAAUUUUACUAUCUUAAGAAUUGUCAGAUUUUUUUGAAAAUAUUCUUUUGCUUCCUAAGAUGUAGACUAAGGAUUUUUCGCUAUCAAUGUCGGAAAUUGUGUCCUCUUUAUUUUAUUUUAUUUUUUUCUUGAACUUAUGCAAAUACAGAGCUUUCAAUCUCUGACCUCCGUUGGCUGUCACAAUCUUAUAAUUAGGCAGUCACAAUCUUAUAAUUAGGCAAACGCUCUUCUGUGAAAAUGAGUAAAUUAGUAGUUCCUCUAUUUUUCGGGAUGACCACUAAAAUUAUAUCUUAACUGAUUUAUUACGCAAUAUUAAAUUGCAUGAAAUUUUAGAAAAAAAAUGCAUAAAACUUAUCGUAAUUAUUACCUAUUUGGAUUUGAGUGCCAAAUAUUAAAAAAAUUUGUGUUUACUAUCUAAUCUUGUAAAUUUGUUUGAUUCGAAUUAAUUAGUGAUUCUUUAAUUUUAAAUUUGAAUGUGUCGUUUAUUUUCAUAGGUUUAGUUAGUUUAUUUUAUAUGAUUUAUAAAUUUAUAAAUUUAUUAAAAUAAAAAAUUAAUGUAAAUUUUAUAUUCAACGAGCUAUCAAAAUAUUUAAAUUAAAUAAAUUAAAACAUUGGAUAAUAAAAUUGAAAAUUUGAAAGACUGGAUAGUUAAAUCAAAAUAAUCUACAGUUCAGUUAAAUUUUAUACACUUUUAUUUUUAUUUUUUAAAUUAUAUUUUAGCAUGUAUCGCAAUCUCCGAUAAUAUGGUUGACACUAAAUUAAUUUAAACAACCAAAAAUUCAAGUUUCAUGGACAAAUUUAAAGACAGUUGACUCGAGUUCAAGUCUAAGUCAAAACCCGAUUUGACAAUCAUUAGAGUUAGACUUCAUUUGGGAUUGAGAGUAUAUUGUAUUAUGUGCGGUAAAAAAAUACGAUAAAAAAAUAUUUUAUUUAUUUUCGUAUAUAAUAUUGCGUUCUGCAUAUUACGAUAUAUUUUCUGUGGUGCCACCGGAGAACGUAGAAGUAUACCCCUAUAUACUUUUAUCCUAAUUCUAUUUUAUCUAAUAGCGUUAGAUAAACCACAAUACUAAACUAAGCAUUAACCAAACCAAAAACGCAAGUUUUACACAACAUAUUAUGUUUGAAUCCGAAUCAGGUUUAAGUAACGCUUUAUAUAUCAUUUUAAAAUAAAGUACUUAAAUUUAAUAAUUCCGCUUUAUACUACUUACACUGUUACUAUGAAAUCUAAGUUGUUGAUCUGAUUUGUCCGAAUUUUUUUGUCCAAAUUUGAUACAGAGAAUAAAAAAAGUUUAUCCUGAUCCGAAAUUUCGAACUAAUUAUCUCUUUUUAUUUGAAUUUUGGUUAUUGUUUGGGUUUGACUAGAUCGGUCAAUCACGUUGGGUCGUAUUAUGCUAAUCCUAGUUGACUUCAAGUGUGUUGGUUUCCAUAAAAUAUUUGGUUCGAUGUUUUUUUAAUUAAGAAUAAAGAAUUAAUAAAACGCAAUUAAUUCGGGUUUAUGACAACACGGACGCGCGUUUAAUGGUGCAAUUAUUCCGUGGACUUGGUCACCACGUAAUCCCUGGACGCUUAAGAACAUCCAACCGUCCGUCCAAUAUUACAAGAAACGGACGGUGACGAUUGGUAAACAAUGAAAAUCCCGUGGACUUGGUCCACCACGUAAUCCCUGGACGCUGAAGAACAUCCAACCGUCCGUCCAAUACUACAAGAAACGGACGGUGUCGAUUGAGAAACAAUGAAAAUCGACGGACGGAUGCUCGCAAGGUCCACGGAUGACGUGGCGGGCCAGGUCGGGGGAGUUAAUUACAACGUAGUAGGAUCGGUGACGUGGCAAGGUCGUUGCUGACGUGUACGCGUGGCGCGCCGACCCGCUGCGCGCAUGGCGCGUGCGGGAACGUGCGCGGGCGCAGCGCAACACGAGCACGCGAACCCUCGGUGUGGCCGAACACCACACAGCGGUCCGACCAAUCCCAGCCCGCCACGUACGCGAAACGCCUCGCCACGUCGGAUUACGCGAUAGGUAUACGAAGAGAGGCACGUACCCAAGCACACAUCCUAUUGCGUGUAGGAUUCGGUUCGUUGCGUAUCGAAGCCCACAAAACCCCCCAACCCCCAACUUCCAAAUUAUAAAGCGUUCAACAUCGUCUCCUCCGCCCUGGCGAAGAGUAGAGAGAGAAAGCGAGAUCGAUCGAUCGACCAACCCCCCUCUCUCUCUCUCUCUCUCUCUCUCUCUCUCUCUCUCUACACCCCACAAACCCUAGUUUCCCCAUCUCCAUGGCUCUGAUGAAGCUACACGCGACGUGCCCUCCUCUAAUGGGAGGAGGCGAUCAACGAGGAGAUCAUGUCACCUCUUCCUCUUCCUCUUCUUCGAUUUCUCCUCUAUCGUUGCGUUUUUGCCGAAACCGAUCGCAUCGAUCGAUCCCUCCGCUGAGGCUUCGGCCGAUGCGGCGGAUCGAAGCAGCGCUAUCGACGGCGACGGCGACGAAGACGACGACGUCCCAAUCCUCCGCCUCAUUGUUGGGACCAAUUGCGCCCCGGUGCGUGGAUAGGGUGGAGGAGGAGAAGAGGGAGCCCGUUAGCAAUGAGGAUUUGGAUAUGUGGAUGAGGGAUUCAAUCCAAGAGGUAUUCAUUUAUUGUGAUCUACAUCGUUUUCUAAUUAUUACGAAGUGAUUUUCUUUUUCCGAGCUCUUGAUGUCGAUAGCAGUAGUGAAUAUCAACGUUUUUUUUCUGAUUCCGAUGUUGAUAUCAAUGAUAAUGCCUCGCAAUGAGUGAAUAUAAAAAAAUAUAUAUAUAUAUAUUAAAAGAAAAAAAAAAACUAAAAUGAUUGGUUGUGUUGCAGAUAGUGAGGAACAUUGGAGAGGCUCCCUUUCUGGUGCACAUCUUUUCUGGCGGCAGAGGCGGCAGCGGCCGAAAGGGCGGUGUCAGAUUGGAGAAGGAGAAGGCGUCGCCCGACAGCUGGCCGCAGAUCACGAGGCGGUGGGACCGCGAGGGCGGCACCCCGGACGGGGUCAUCCUGGUCGAGGCGAUCGAGGAGGAGGAGGACGACGAGGAGCGUGGGCCGCUGCUGCCGCCACUGACGCCGACGCCGCCGUGCGCAGCAGCAGGCCCCAAUUCGGCUUGCAAGACGUGGGGGCUGGUGGUGCAGGGGCGGGGGAUGGACUGCGCCGCCUGCUACGUGCUCAACACCUGCCGCGUCAGGUCGUCGGUCGGGUUCUGCACUCACUUCAGCCUCGUGCGGGCCAAGUGCUUCGGCGAGGCGAUCGAGUCGCAGAUCAGGAAUGCUUGGUUGCAGGGGAAUUAGAAACUGAUCGGUUUCUAUUUACAGAAGGGAAUACUAUUACUCUGUUCAUAUCAUUGCACUCAAUUGAUUCUUCCGCCAGGAACAUUGGAAUUUUAUUGAAAGCAUUUUGUUCCAUCAUUGUUCUCUUUUUUAAUGUAAAUAGUUCAAAAAACAAUGUGAUUCUCUUAUUAGAUUCUCCAGCAACCAUUUUUUACUGGUAGUUUUACAGAGAACUUUGUUCAGAAAGAAAAUAACCAGCGUACAUCUUAAAUUUCCGGCAAAGCGAUUUUUUCAUAAGUUUUUGAAUUUGAAAAACUAUCAUAAGAAAUUGGCUUUAGGAGGAAGAAUCCCCUACUGAGAAGGUCAAUAAAUAUAUUUGGCAAUUAUGCGUUCUUUGUGUCAAAAAAGCAGUUGUUCCAUUUCAACUUUGUCAAACUAUAUACCCUUCUUUAAUAUUGAAAAACACAAAUUAUUUGAAUCAUUUUAACCACCCUUUAAUGAUGUGCAUUGUGACAUCAUGUGAAUCAGAUUCGACCAUUUCUAAUGUCUGAUGCAGUGUAUCAUGAGAACCACUUUUAUCAAUUACUUGGAAUGAUAUUUGAUGUAUGUAUUCCUUGCACCGUGUCAAUCUGAGAGACAACUAGUUAAGCUAAAAUUCCUCAACCAUACACCAACAGUAUCAGAUGAAAAUGGAACUAAGACUCGCUCCAUGGUUAUCUUUUAAAGUAACUUCCUCCAGUUUAUGCUCAUUAUCUAGUAUAGCUGCUCUUCAACAGGAUCCUGAUCAUCACCGCCUUUGUUGAUCCUUGUUACGAACAUUUAGAGGCUAAGUAAUGAGAUUGCUUAAAUUUGUAACAUUGAAGCCACUGCUAUAAUUAAUUGUAGCCUUUUUUCCGUUCUUAGUAUGUUGGAUAGCGCAAGCCAAUGAGAAGAAAAUUACUGGGCAAGAUAAUAGUGUAAAUCACUUGGCUUGAGAGUGUGUUUUUCUGGUUCAAGCUAUCAGAUUCUCAUAUACCCGAAAAGCCACAAUAAUAAUGCACUCAAGUUCUCAUAAUAAACAACCCUUGGCUAUUAUUACUCUGUUCUAGUUCAAGUUUGAUCCAAAUCCACCAAUAUUCUUCUUAUCUAAAUCAGCAAGAUUGCUGCAAAGUGUGAGAUCGUCAAACUCCUGGAUGUAUUCUGCGUUGUUUUAAACUCAUAAGCCUAUCGUAAAAACUAAACUUAUAAGCUCUUAGGACAAAGUGACCACCACAUACUAAGCCCCAUCCAUUUGUUUAUCGAUCUGCCACUAAUCCUACAGGUUUGCUCCCUUCAACUUGUCGAUAACCAAACGAGCCUAUUCACCAUCUAGGAACAGAUGUUUGUCUGAGCAAUCAAACGGGGAUGAAGUCCGGUUCUCGAAGACUGUUAGACCCUUCUUCCCACACAUUUAACUCUCAUGUGAACUUAAUCAUGCCUCGAAUGUCAACAUCGACGGCGACCACGGUGAUUUACCCUAAGUUUAAAGUACAUUAUUAUAGCCAUCGUGUACCAGUGCCUAGCCUGAACCUUUGCAUGUUAUAACAAAUUUCAAAAUUUCCAAUUAUUGAUGACAUCUGUUUGAAUACCUUCCCUAGGUUCUACUCUACCGAGCAAGUUCGUAAAUGCUGGAGUUCAACUUACUGAUGUUUUGACAAGAAUAUACUGUGAUUUGUUCGCUCUUGCCAUAUACACGUUCGCUGCUCUACGAGGAAAUGAUUUGUUAAGUUCAAUGCUGAAGUUCAAUUAACUAAUGUUCAGAUCUUGCCAACAAGUUAUAGCUAAUCUAGUUUACAGUUAAUUUUUUCCCCAGUUGAAUAACCACUUGGUAUCUCUAUAGUUUACUUGGAGAUUCUUACAUUCAUCUUUUCAGAGUAAUAAGAUUACAAAGUAUGAUACUAAAGAUCCCAUAAGCAAAUUAAACAGUGAAACUGCUACAAGAAGAAAAACCAAAGAUUACCAGGGUAUAUAGUUAAAUAAGAUCCAAAGCACCUUCAACCAACAUUACUUAGCACUCAGCACAAAUGAAAAGUAAGUUAAGAACAUGAGAGCACAUCAUCCCUGAAUCACAAUAAUGUACACAGGACCGCGACAAGUUAAACACAUGCUUAGUAGUAAUCUUAACUAAGUUCACUCUCUAUGUAAAGCGAAAAAAAAACAGAAGAAGAAGAAGAAAAACUAGCACAACCUCACCUUCUCUUUCUCACUUGUCGAAGAGCAAGCUCAUGAUGCUCCGGAACAUGUGGCCGCGCUUGGUGAGCUGCUCCCGCACGGCGGCCUCCUCGGGGACGAACCCCUUCCCCUUCAAUUCAUCCAACAGCGCCCGCGCAUCGGCGAGCUUCUCCGCCGCAAUGUGGGCCUCGAACACCGCCACGACGGUGGCCACAUUGGGCCGCAUUCCUUUCGCCGCCAUCUCGACCAGAUACCGCCGCGCCUCCGCGAGGUUCCCGUCCCUCGCGAGGCCCUUGAUCAGCACGGCGUAGGUGUAGGCGUUGGGGGCGACGCCGGAGGCGAGCAUGCGGAGGAAGGCGCGGAGCGCGUGCAGCGACUGGCCGGCGCCGGCGCCGGCGUAGGCCUCGACGACGGCGGUGUGGGCGACGACGUCGGGCAUGACGCCCUUGUCCUUGAUCACGGCGAAGAGCUCGAGCGCUUCGUGGGUGAGGCCGUCCCUGGACAAUCCGUCGAACAUCUUGACUGCGUAGUCGGUGAGGCCGUCGGCGCGCAUGCGGUGGAAGACUUCCGCGAGGUCCGAGGUGUCGCGGGGAUCGCCGGCGGCGGGUUUCUUGCUGAAGGGGUCGUAGGGAGGGGGCAGCUUCGACGGCUCGUCGUCGUCGGACCAGUCGAAGGAGGCGGAGGUGUUGGUAAUGGUGGAUCGAGGUGGGGGAGAGGAGGAGGAGGAGGUGGAGGAGAAGGGGUGGAGGAAGGGACGGAGAGGAGAGAGUGGUGCUGCGGCGGAGCAGGGGCGGCGGAGGGGGGAGAAGGGGAUGGGGAAGGAGGAGAGGAGGGAGAGGAGGAGGUUGGAUUUGGAGGGGAGAGAGCGAGGUGUUAGCAGGAAUGUCGUCGUCGCCGCCAUGGAGUUUGAAGUGGAAGCGAUGGGUGGUGACAGCCGAGAAGGAAGCACGGAAGAGGAUGGAAGGCGGCGAGCAGCAAUCAGCCGGCAGCAGCCGCUGGAAAAGCACGGUUGGAUGACUGCAAAUUGGGAUACCCAGAUUAGGCAUGUCUUAAAUAAACUUUUUCCGUAUAAAUAUUUUAUUGUUAAUUUUAAAACUGGCGUGUUGAUAGCUUGAUAUCGUAUGUAAUUAUGUUCACUUAUUUAAGCUUCUUAAGUAUUCAAACUCGAGAGAAAUCAUAAAAAAACCAUUCACCCCUGAAAAUUUAAUCAUUGUCAAUGUUAAAUAAUCUCGUCCCUUAAAAAAUUAACAAAAAUUUUAAAUGAUCGGCACGAGACUAAAGAUAGAUUCGACAUUGUCCAAUCAUUUUUAUUUCGCAGAAGAAAAGGUACAAAAUUAAUUUUAUAAUUAAAGCUAAAAUUUAUAUAGAGUAUCUAAUCAGUCAUUUAUCAAUCUUUAAUACUGUACAUCCCUUAAUUAUAGAAUUUAAAUUUUGUAAAGUUUUUUAAUAUUAGAAAAAGAUAGUUGAUAAGAUAAAUAUAACAUAUUAGUUAUUAGAAGAAAAUGUCCAAGAUUAAUAUAAAUUUUUUUGUUGUUGUACACAAGCGUUACUUCAUAAUUUUUAUUUCAAUCUAAUCAAUCUCCUUAUGUGAUAAACAAUGAAUUAGAUUGCCUUUUUAUGAAAAAGCUUUUCGGAUAAUAUAUACAGCUUGUGACGUGCGUCUAUUCAGAGAGUUACCUAUCUUAAAAUUACUUUAUUUUUAUCACGUUUAAUUCUAUUAAUCUUUUAGUGGGUUAGAUCUUUACAUAUCUCUAAUUGGGCUGGGCCAAAUUUGGAUAUAUUCAGACUUUCGGCCGGGCGAAUUGUUUAUGGGUUGGACUUUUUUUAUGUCUAUCGCAAGUCAAAACAUGGUCCAAAAAAUCACUGGACCACGUCUGAUUAAAAUGUAACUUCUUAAUUCGAGCUAAGUCAACCAAAAAUAAAAGAAGUAAAGAAAAGUAAACGAUGAGUACCUCGUAAGUUUUUUUUUUUUUAUUUAUUUUUUUUUUUGACCUUUUAGGAGGAUGAAUACUUUAAACUUUGAAAAUUUUAAGUAAACAACAUAUCACUUUAUAGCCUUUUAUUUAGUUCCCAAAUAAUAAAUUUAUUAUAAUUAUAAUUAUAAUAUAAUACGGAGGAUAAGUAUAUUAUAUUAUUUUUCAUAUGUGAUGGAAAACAUCAAUAAUUCAUUAGCAAAGAUAUAUAAAUGCGAAGCCUACUUGCUUCACUUUUUAGUUAAAUCUUUUUUUUUCUCUCAACUAAAUUGGUAAUCUGCUUCUACAUUAUUUUUAAUGGACUAUGUCUAUUUAUGAACAAAAUAUUCAAACCCAUGAUACAGAGAGUAUAUCAACUAUCUCGGAAUCUAUACUAUUUUUAUAAAUUUAUUCAUAUUUCUUACAAUUUUUAAUUAAUUUAUAUAAAAAUAUAAAAAAGAGAUAGUUAUAUAUCACUUCCUGCAAAGAUAUCAAAUAACAAAUAUAUUUCUACAAAGCUUAAGUUAUUAUCAGAUUUAUACCUGCAAAAUUUUUUCCGUCUAUAAAUGUAUUCUUCAUUUACCAAAAUUUAGAUAACUAUGAGUUAAAAAAGCUAACAUAGUUAUUUAAGGGGUAAAAUAACUUUUUUAACUUAUAUAUAUAUAUAUAUAUAUAUAUAUAUAUAUAUAUAUAUNAUGUCGUUUGAUUCACCGUUAAUUUUUUAACGAUGGAUGCAUAAAAUAACUAUUUUACUCUUAUAAGUUUAUUCUUGCAAAAAGUUUUUUUUCUCUCUCUCUCCUCGCAUUUUUUGCAGUACAUGCGACGUAUCUCAUGUUUAUCUCGCCGUCACCAUGUAUAAAGAGGAGAGGAUGAGAAAGAUAACUUGACUCAAUAUUGAAAUACAAAUUAUAAAUGUAAGGGAUAAAAAGUUUAUUUUACUUCUUAACUAACCGUGGUUAUAUUUUUUAAUUUAUAGUUAUCUAAAUUUUGCUGACAGAAUGAUAUAUUUACAGACGGAACGAUUUUUAGAGAAAUAAAUAUGAUAACUUAAGUGUGGUCGGAAUAUACUUGUUAUCCCUUACAUUUAUAAUUUGUAUUUCAAUAUUGAGUCCUGUCAUCUUUCUCACAUUUUCCUCUUUAUCUAUAGUGACGGCAAGAUCUAUAGCGGCGGCGUCAAGGAUAUAUGCGAACGAAUUAGAAUUUUUAGAUGAAUAUAUUUAUAAAUUAUUUUUUGGCUAAUUUGCAUAAAAAAUUUACUAAUUUUGGGCUUUUGUAAAAGUUGGCCACCUUUUUUCUUUUUGCAGAUUUGAUCCGAUUUUUCAGCAAAAUGACUAAAAUACCAUUGUAUCUUUUUCUCUCUCCUCUUUUUUUUUUUUUUUCUCUNUGCUCCGGCGACGUCGCUAACGACGAGCCCGCCUACCCCGCCUCGGCCUCUCCCCCAACCUUUCCUCCUACCGCGCCCUUGCCCAGGCCCUCUGCCGCCGCGGCCAGGCCCGCUUCGCCGCCGCGGCCAGGCCCGCUUCGCCGCCUCCCUAUUCGACGACAUGCUCCGCUGCGGCCUCCUUUUUCUUUCUCCUUCUCCGUCGGCGCGCCAACGCAAGACGACGACGGAGGGAUGCAGACUCGGCCCGGAGCCAGUCGAAGUCGCGGGAGAGGAGCGCGGAGAGGUAGGUGGCGCCGCCCCGCGCGGCACUCAAGUGUCGCACACCCGAGCCAGCCUUCUCGAGUCCUCUCCACGGAUAAGUCUCCCAGACUUAACAGUAGAAUACCAAUCCAAGCAUUUUGCCAAGCUUGCUCCUCUGUGAGACUUAUAGCCCGACCCUUCGCCUGUAAUCGAACCCCUCGUCGGAUUCCUCGAGUUCUCAACGAGCAACCCCAAUACCGAGGUUGGCCAUCAAGCUAGGUGCAUCUCGUCUUGCCAACCGAUCUCUCCUCGAGAGUGCUUCAUAACCGAAUGUCUUGCUACCUUCAUCACUAGCCCCAAGGACAUUACAAGUUCUCCCCCAACUUGUGCCAUAUGACUAUAGCCAAGCGUCUCGCCUCCCACGCGUUUUGCUCCUGCGACUUAGUCUGCACGCCUCUAGCGUCAAGGUCCGGGCUUCGCAACAUCGCAUGCCACGAAGGGCACUCAUAACCAUAUAUUUCUCACUAUCGUGCCUCAUGCGCCUGAUAACGUCCAUGGCCAUACCGCAUACGCGGCUUGCUCGCUCGGUCCAACGGCAUAUAUCCGAAAAGCCACCCAAGUGUGCGCCACAACCUCGCCUGUCUUCCAAUGCCAGGGACUAGGCGUGACACCCCGCACGCCCAUGCUUCGCACUUCCGUGCUUCGAAUCCAACCCGUACUGCUCUCGUGUCCUAACGCUCCUGGCAAGGGAACCAAUAAGUCCACACCGUGCUUCUCGAUCGUCCACUCAACUCUCGCUUUGCCAUGGCGCUCCGCGCUCUUGACUCCCAUAUGUUCGCCUCAUAAGGGCCGAUACAAACGAACCGGUCUCACUCCGCAUCGCUAGCCACUAGCCCCGUCCUUAGCCCGACCAUGCCUGGCCGCUCACACCAUUGGUCCAGUCUAUCAAGGUUCACGAUAUAGAUACCGAUACUGCUUGUCUCAUUGGGUUCCGCCCCUCGAGUCUCGUAGACCUCCCGUCAUACGAAUUCUCCUUCGGCGUGCCUCCCUUUAGCACUCCUAUUGAGUUCCGCCUCCUUGGCCUUCGUGGGCGCCGCGCCCCAUGAAUCCCCGCUAAGCACACUUGCCUUCGCGAGCCUUGUCCUUUACAGAGGACCAUCCGUCGCUAGACUAUCCCUCAUCCGCUCGUACGCUCCACUACGGAGAUCCAAGCCGGCAUAAGAUAGCGCAAGCGAUCUUAGGAGGAAAGCCUCCCGGUAUUCCCCGCUCUGUAAUGGCGUCGACCUCUCGCGUCUCCGACAUUACCCUAGGCCCGUGUCUCUUCAACCGUCCAAUACCCGAUCACACGGAACGCUAGGCUUGGCUACUCAGCUAGCGAAGGGACGACCCAUGUCUUCUGGGUCGACGGGGGAGUCGGGGCCACUUACGAAGUGUCCACCCCUCCUCUAUAUACCCUACAAGGCAUCCAUCCAUUUGGCACCCCGGGGGUACAAAGGUGCUCACCGAGGGGUAAGUUUUGAAACCCCGCAUGCGGCACCAAAAUCCUAGUCAUGGCACGGGCCAUUGCUAGGGAAUUGCCUCUGUUGACUGGACAACGACUCCAUCCUGAUGGAACGCCUCAACUCCGCAACUCCAUAACUUCGUCAACCUAAGUGCCUACCACAUGUGGCCCCCAAGGAUGUCACGGUCGAAUCCCAGCGAUCGACCCGUGACAAUGGGGCGAGCUUGCGGUUCUCAGUGCGGAGGCGCGCGAGGCGGCUCCAAAGCUUCUCGAGGUAGAAGAAGGAGGAAGAAAAAAAAAGAGAAUAAACCGAGGGAAAGAAGGAGGAAGAAAAAAAAAAAAGAGAAUAAACCGAGGGAAAGAAGGAGGAAGAAAACAAAAGAGAAUAAACCAAGGGAAAGAAGGAGGAAGAAGAAGAGAAUAAAAAAUGGUGUAAAUUUCAUCCAAAUAGUGCAACGUUAGUCUAAAAAGUAUAAUUUUUUCAUCCGAAAUGGUGUAAAUUUUACCCAAAUAGUGCAACGUUCACCUAAAGAGUGCAACUUCGUCCCAAAGAGUAUAAAUUCUGUCUCAAAUAGUGUAAAUUUUAUAUAAAAUAGUGCAAUUUUUUUAAAAAUUACACACUUUAAGACAGAACUGCACUGUUUAGGUGAAAUUUACACUAUUUCUCUUUUUUUUUUUACUUCUUCCUCCUCUCCCUCCUCUUUCAAUUUUCGCCUUGUACAAGAACCCCAACCAUGGCUCGUCCUAUCCCACCAGCCUUAUCGCAGCAUCACUCCCCACCCACUCGGCCUCAGAAUUCGUGCUUGCUACAAAGCGGUCAUGGGAAGUGGCGGAGGAAAAAUGGCGCUCGCCGUGGUACUCUUCAUGUUGGGGAGCGUUGAGGUGAGCGCGCGGGCGAGGGCGGCGCCGGAGAAGGAGGAGGGGGCUGGCGGUGGGUUUGGCCAUGGCAUGGGUGGCUGUAUUGGUGGCGGGAUUGGGUCAGCUUGAUCGGCCGCGGUGGAGCAUGUCGUCGAGCAAGGAGGCGGCGAAGCGGGCCUGGCCGCGGCAGCAGAGGGCCUGGCUGAGGGCGCGGUAGGAGGAGGGGUCGGGGGAGAGGCCGAGGCGGGGGAGGCGGGCUCGUCGCCGACGACGUCGCAGGAGUCGGCGAGGGCGACAUCGCAGGGGCAGGGGGGUGGCGUUUCUGCCUUCGCCGCUCUCUGGGAAGAGAAAGAAAAAAAGAACGAGAGAAAAAAAAAAGAGGAGAGAGAAAAAUGUAUAAGGGUAUUUUGAUCAGUUUGCUAAAAAAUCGGACCGAAUCUGUAAAAACGAAAAAGGUGGCCCACUUUUGUAAAAACCCAAAUUUAGUGAAUUUUUUAUGCAAAUUGGCCUUAUUUUUUUAAAAAAAAAUUCAAAUAUCACUCAUAUGGUUUCACAUUUUCGCACUUAAAUACCUUAUGGUUUAAAGUGUAUCACUUUCGCACCCCGUAAUUUUUUUCUCUUUUUGUUAUCACUUUCGCUAAUUUUUUUAUUAAAUCAAUGACAAAGUAAAAACUAAAAAGUAUUAAAGUGAAUAUUCAAUAAACUAGUGGUGGGGUAUCUAAAGUUUUUUUUGUAUAUGAUUUAAUAAAAAGCAGAGGAGUUGACGAAAAGAGAAAAAUAAAACCACAGAGUAUUAAAUUGAUACACUUUAAAUCAUAGGAUAUUAAAAUGAGAAAUUGCAAAACUAUAGAAAUAAUAUUUGAAGUUUAUUCUAAAAAAUAUAUUUAUAAUUUAUAUGAAUAUGUAUAAAAUUAAUUUUAAUAAAAACUUAUCCAAAUGUUACAGCACGUGAAAGUUAGCACACGUGAAGGUAGAUUCAGGAGUAAUCAGUUUUUGACGGAAACAACUCAAACACGAGUACACGACUAUGAGCCCGUGCGCGGGACCACGACGGGGUUCGACCAAAUCCAAAACCGAGGGGACCGAGGCCACCGACGUCAGCAUGCCACGUGGGAUAAUAUCCUCGCACGUAAACUCAACCGGACGGGUGCCACGCGUCGCCUCCUCAUUGCGUUUUGAUUGCCGCUCAGGGGGAUUACUCCCAACUUCGACAUGGUUAGCGUGAAACUAAUUUUGCCCACUCCGAUAAUUAAUUAGUUAAAUAAAUGUAUAGUUUUCGCUUUCUUGUUGACUUGUUCCCAUUAAUUAAUAAGCUUUUUAAAUAAAUUUUUUAAUUUUAAUUAAUAAAUAGUUAAAACAAAAAUGCUCAGUGGUUGAAUAGUGAGCGAGAAUCGGGUUCUUCGCCCGUCCCCCCUCAUCGUCUCUAACCUCCCCGCAACGUGUCCACACCCCUCUCUCUCUCUCUCUCUCUCUCUCUCUCUCUACACCACCAUCACCACCACCUCCGCUUCUUCUCGCUCUAGAAACCCUAGUUGCUUCGUCCUCGAUCGCGUCGGUGGUAUAUGCCUCAGAGAGAAGAGGCGAGAACGAACGGAAGAGGAGGAGAUGGGGAUGGGGAUCGAAGGGGCUCUCCAUCGCCUCGCAUCGCCGAGGAUGAGGCGGAGGAGGCGGAGGCGGAGGAGGAGGAGGAGGAGGAUCGGAGCCGCCGUAAGAGGACGAUCGGAAGGGCCGUGCGAAGCCUCUCGAGGAAGAUUUACGGCCGGAGGAGGAGGAAGGAGAAGCGAGCUCAACCACCGCCGGCGCCGGCACCGGCGCCGCCGCCUCGGUGGUCCGCCCCUCCCGAUAUCGGCGGAGAUGGCGGAUAUAGGUGCUCAUCGUGCCUCUGCUUCAAUCCCAAUCCCAGCCGAUACCCUCCCGAUUCCCCACUCAUCGCGCCGAACCCUAGCGGCGACGAUCCCAAGGUAACGAAGAAACCCACCACUUACCACGAAUUCGUGAGGUCUCUGCUCGAGAGCAACGAUUUCUACUCCAGAGAUUGCAAUGUCCACCGAGACAUCACCUCCGACUCCGAUGAUCCCUGAUCGGUUUGAGCCGAAUUUUAUCAUCCGAUUCUAUGGUUUUGCCUUUUGGUUCAUAUGCAGAGAAUUUGAUUUGUUGCGAGUAUUGUGUGGGUACAGAUAAAUUGAUAGAUUGUGGAAAGAGAUCCUGCUUUUGCCUAUUAUUCGGCAUCGAACAGAGCAUCCAAAUCCCUCCUUUUCUACAAUUGAGGAAUUUAUAGGCUUUGUUGCGGAAGAACUGUGAGAUUUGAUCAGCACUUGUGGCAUGUUGAUGCUUAUCUGUAGCAUUGACGCCAAUUGUCCAACAGUUUGUGAGUAAAUAAAGCUCUGUAUAUUUGUGAUUUUGUAUUCUCUUCUGUUAAUGUUUCUAUGGAAAGGUGUAAAGAUUUUGUGGCCCUCCAUAUUGGAACAUGAUUCUUUCAAAAUUAGUGAUUUUAUCUUGCAGUACCUGUUGUUGUCAUUUAUUUUGAUUAAACAAUCUCCAAAUUGUUGUGCAAAUGCAUUGUUAAAGCAGAUAAAGAUGCAAUCCCUAUUUUACUGUAUCAUAUUAUGUUCUCGUCAGUGUUGAAAAGGUGCUUAAGAUGCCUUUCUGCAAUUACCACAUCGUUUUGUUGUGAAAUCAGUGGAUUAUCCUUUACAUUUGAGCAAACCUGGUGUUAAGUCGUUCGUUGAAUUUAAUUUCUGAAAAAAAAUCAAAGCUUGAAGCUUUGUUAUCGCAUAUUUAACUGCUGGACUUGGCGUGAUAUGUUAUGAAAGAAGAUUCUCUCAAGAUUUAUCAAGGGGCACCCAUAUGAAGUCCUAUGAUGAUCUCAUCAAGACAAGGAGUGUUUGAUGCAAUCCAUGUAUAUGGUAUACGUUUCAAGUAAGUUGACCUUGGUGGGAGGUUAAACACAGGUACUUCGGCGGCGGUGAUAAGUUUUCCUGCCUCUGCUUCAACCACUGUCAAUGCCCUCCAGAUUCCCUACUCAUCCUCUCGCUGAGCGACAACACUGAUAACUAUUUCUGCUCUUUGAAUUGCAAUGUCCACCAAGAUAUCACAUCCGAGACAGGUGAGGUGUGAUCUGAAUUUAGUUUUAUCCAGUUAUAUAGGUUUGUCUGUUGAUUUGCGGAUAGAGCAUUUGAUUUCAUCCUAGGAUGAUGAAUUGACGGCUUGUGCUUGAUGAUUUCCAUUCUGAGCCAUUGGCUUUUCGUCAUUUGGCUGCAACAGAGAGGAUGCAAACCAUUUGCACUCCUCUUCUGUGAAAUUAAGGGAGUAGUGGAAGACCUACGAGACAUGAUCAGGAAUUAGGCAUGUUGAUGCUCCUUUGUAUCAGUGACGCCAAUUUUUCACUUUGUAAAUACGAAAGCCAUGUAUAUCUCAGCCUAUAUAUUCUCUUUUGUUAAUGUUUGAUGGGUAAUAAAAAAGAAUUUCAUGUCUUCCAUAUUUCAAAAUUGAUUUUUGCAAGCUAUCUGCCUUUUUUAUCUUGUGACAUUUAUUUCUAUGAUGCUGCUGUAUCUUGGUCAUUCUGUAGAUAUCAUAUUUUUCCUUUUAAGUCUCUCAAUUGCCAUUAGCUAUUGGCCUUCAUUGAGUAAACAAUCUCCAAACUGUUGCAACAACAAAGGCAGUGUUGCGACAGUCACUUUUUUGCCAAUAUUCUAGUUUCUCAUAAGGUGUGUCUAGCUAAAGUGUAUCUACAUCACUUGAUCUAUGUUCCUCUUUGGAAACAUGUAAUUUUAAUCUAUAUUAUUGCCAUGUUGAUUACUCUUCUCCUUUUUAUUACAGAUUGCUGUUUUCUGAGGGAGAACUGUGUGAAGAACUCUACAUUCUCUGGUGAGAUAAAACUGAGUUUUAAUAUUAACGAGUCAUUCUAUCUAAAGCUUGUAUUCUGUCUCUUCCUUAUGUUUUGUUCAUGGUAAUCUCCACAAAGAAUACAUCAUCUUGCUAGAAGCUGUUGGCCUUCAAUAUGCUGCUUUCUCAUUGUAUAUGCCGCUAAAUCAUAGACUUUUUAAUUGAUCUGGCAAAUUCACAUGCUCCUGACAUUAGUGAAAACCCAUAGUCGCAUAACUAACAAGUCAUGCCUCAUCCUGGAAUGGGUUUACAACUUUGAUACUCCUUACAAUAAGGGAGGCCUUCCACCUCCGUGAGAAUUCCAGUAACACUAACAUUGUAAUAAAUGAAUAGUAGUAUAAUACUCGAGUGUUUCUUCAAAACUUUGGAAUAAAUUCAACUGAGGAAUAUUCUAAUUAUCCAGUUUUGUGGUGCACUGGUGCAAAUAGAGUAACUUGUUUUGUUGGGUGAGCAUACAUUUUAACAUACAUAUACAUCACUGUUUUUUUAUUAGGACAGGACAACUGACUUAAUUAUGUUAUUUGCAGAUGAAAUAUUCUAUCAAACCUUAAAAUCAGCAUGAACUGGGGAUGUUUUCAUCAUAUUUGGGCCUAUGGGUUUCCAGAGGUGUCUCAUUAUCAAACUAAAAUGUAGUCAGUUAGUAGAAAAAGAUUGGUGUGAUUUUAUUUGACUUUGAUUGUAGAAGCAGAGUAAAUAUAUUUGAGAGUUGUUAAAUAUUUGAAUGAUUUUGUCUAACUUUGGAUUUAAUUUGGGUUUACUUUGCUCUUUAUAUCGGAUUUAGUCCUUUGAAUGUGAAAUUUGAAUUAUACGGGUUAAUCGAGCUACUCUGUCUACAAGUAACUUCAGCCUAGCAAAACCUUUCCUAACACCUCUCUAGAAGCCUUGCCGUGCUGCAGAAACAAUAGUUGUUUCCCCUCUUUCAGCGGGAAACCCCUGGGCUGCUCAUCAAUCUCUGAUACAUACGAAAUUUAUUAAGAUUAGGAGAUCCAAGGACUGAAUGAAUAGUAGAUUGGAUAAAGAACAAGCACAGGAAGAGAGAGUCAACAUGAUUAUUCAUUUCAGCUCGUCAAUGAUUAUUCAGGGAAAACUUCAAAAACCCCCCUUGUGGUUUCAAUUUUUUUCACUUUAGUACCCUGUGGUUUAAAAUGUAUCAAGUUAGUACCUUGUGGUUUCUCACUUUAUCACUUUAGUACCCUGUGGUUUAAAGUGUAUCAAGUUAGUACCCUGUGGUUUUGCAUUUUAUCACUUUAGUACUUUGUGGUUUUGAUUUUGUAUCAAAUUAGUACCCUGUGGUUUUUUAAACUAUAGGGUACUAAAGUGAUAAAGUGUGAAACCACAGGGUACUAACUUGAUAUACUUUAAACCACAGGGUACUAAAGUGAUAAAGUGAGAAAUCACAGGGUACUAACUUGAUACACUUUAAACCACAGGGUACUAAAGUGAUAAAGUGAGAAACCACAGGGUACUAACUUGAUAUACUUUAAACCACAGGGUACUAAAAUGAAAAAGUGUGAAACCACGGAGGGGGUUUUUGAAGUUUUCCCUUAUAUUUAUAUCUCUCUCUCUCUUGAUCUUUACUUUUUUCAUCUCUCACUUCAAAUUUACCAAACAUGUUCAUGCUCGUUAUAAAUUAUCAAUCGAAAAUAGAGUGGAUUAUCUCCUCAAUCCACACACCAAUAUUUCAUAAACUACAACUAUGUAAAGUACUAAUAAAUUGAGUAAUAUACUUAAGUAAACAUUGUCACACCUCAUCCACUGCUCUUUUUUUUUUUUCAGUAUAUGAGAUUGCUUUAGUUUUUCAAUUAAUUACCAAGUAGAACGCAGAUUUGAACGGCUACUUAUUUGAUUAAUGGCGGGAACGGUCGGUAGCAACCGGCGUGUCGGGAACAUCAUACUGAUCGGCCACGUCCUCCACUGCUGUGGAGGUCUCCGCCGCAGCGGCGGCAGCUGCGGUGGGGUCAUACUGCUUGAUCACGACGACGGACGCCGUCGUGGAGAACUCCGACGACGCGAGGUAGCUCCCGACGGGCCCGAGCUCCGGCGUGUCGCUCCGGUCCGUCAAUGACAUGCACGCCGGCGACUGCCCCACAACGAAGAGGUUGAACCGCCUGACCGCCUUCACGGCCGCCACGAUCUCCGCCCUGCUGCCCACUGCCACCUCCUCGUACUUGAUGGACUCGUUGGCCGCCGCCGCCGGCUUGGCCCUGAAUUCGGCGAGGAACGCCUCGUCUGCCGCCUGGUCGUCGGCGUCAACGCCGAUCCCGACACUUCCAUUGCUGCCGUCCUCGAGCAGAUUGGACCGGCCGGGCGGGGGGAUGAACCGCACUACGGUGAGCGCGAUCCCUGGGUGCUCGGCCAUGCGGGCCCCGUAGGAGAGCGCCUCACGGUCGUCGCAGCCCCCGAAGAAGAGCACGGCCACGGUGCAGGAGACCUCGCUGGCGGAGACCUGCGCAGCGCCACCGAGGCCGCGGUCGACGAGCACGGCGACGGAGCAGGGGGCGUGGCGGAGCACGCGCUGGUUGACGUGCUGGUAGUCGCCGCCGAGCGUCUCCAUGGCGCCGUCGAGCCGCUGGAGCUUGUGGAAGGGCAGGACAAUGAGUGCAGCGCGCUUCUGCUGCGCGCUGGUGACGACGUCCUCGUGGAUGGUGUGCAGGUCAGAUAUGGCCGUCAUCGGGCGCACGGACACGUUGCUGAGCUGGCCAUAGGCCUGGAAGGCGACGACGAGCUGGUCGCCGCCCUCGUCGGACCGACGCUUGUUCCAGAAGGGGAGCCCGUUGCGGCGCGCCUUGUGGACCAUGGAGAUUGCCGAGGACCGCUCCGAGAGCUCCAUGAGGUGCAUGGCGUAGACGGUGAGGCCGCGGCGGCGCAUGCCGCGCGAGGACUCGACGAGGUUGAUGAUGGCGGGGAUGUUGCGGCUGCCGUGGAAGCAGGCGAGCACGCGGAGCUCGGCGCCAUCUGCGUCCUCGUUGCAGCGCUGCACUGUGCGGUGGUGCUUGCGGCCGGAGGCGGCACGGCGUGCGGGCUUGUAGACUGCGGUGACGAGGGGCGUGGUAAUGAAGGUGGUGAAGAGCGCCAUGAGGACGAGGAUGGCGAAGGUCUCGUCGUUGAGCACCUUGCGGUCCUUGCCGAUGUUGAGCACGAUGAGCUCGACGAGGCCCUUGGUGUUCAUGAGGAAGCCGAGCGUGACGGCCUCGUGAGCGGGCACUUUCAGGGCGAGGGAGACGAGCACAGUGCCGCCGACCUUGCCGAGGCAGGCGGUGGCGAUCACGAGCACGAGCAGGCCCCAGGACUGCCCACCGCGGAUGGUGGCGACGUUGGUCUUGAGGCCGCUGGAGGCGAAGUAGAGUGGGAGGAGGAGGCCGGAGAUGAGGUCCUCCACCUUCUCGGUGAGCACGGCGGCGAAGGGCCCGUCCUUGGGGAUGACCACGCCGACCACGAAUGCACCGAAGAGCGCGUGGAUGCCGAUGGUGUCGGUGGCGAACCCGGCGGCGAGCACGGCGGCGAGCGUGGCGCAGAUGUAGGUCUCCUUGACGGGCUCGCCAUCGGGGGAGCGGCGGGCCAUCCAGGCAAGGACGGGCCGCACGGCGAGGGCUACGAGGGCGACGAAGGCGGCGGCGGAGAGGAGCACCCAGAGGGAGACGAGCGGGGAACCGGAGCCGGAGAGUGCGAUGGCGAGGGCGAGGAGGAUCCAGGCGGCGAUGUCGUUGACGGCGGCCGCGGACAUGGCCAUGCGGCCGAGGUCGGUGGUGAGGAGCUUGAGCUCGGCGAGGAUGCGGGCGAGCACGGGGAAGGCGGUGAUGGAGAGGGCGACGCCCAUGAAGACGAGGAAGGGCCCCUCGCGCACGCCCUGGGAGAUGGUGGCGCGAAGCACGAAGGACGUGCCGAUGCCGAGGGCGAAGGGCAGCGAGAUGCCGGCCAGCGCGAUGGCCAGGGCUUGCCGGCCCGUGCGGCGGAGUGCGCGCAGGUCGAGCUCCAGCCCCACCAGGAACAGGAAGAACAGCAGCCCCACGUUCGCCAGUGUGUCCAGCACUGUCAGGCUCUGCUUCGGGAACACCGUCUCCAGGAACCUGCUGCUCCGCCCCAGCGCCGACGGCCCCAGCAGAAUCCCCCCCUGCAGUGGCAAUUGCAGUUGCAAUUCAUUCAUUCACUCAUUCAUUCAUUCAUCUUACCAAGAAACAAAAAGAAGGAGAACCCAACAACAACAACAACCAACAACCAACAACCAACAACGGCAACGGCUAUCACACAGGUUUGAAAAACAGUUACGAUACAUUAUAUCACACACACCCUUUACAUGAACAAGCAAGCAGAUAAAAUAUGUUGUGUUUCAAAUUGGAGACAUAUAUGUACAUAUGCCGUAUGCGUCAGUGGAAAACUCCAAUUAGCUUAGCACAUUCUUAAAAUAAAGGUAAAAAGUUGCAUAAUUUGUUUUGCUUAUGAAUCAUUCUAAAUUGACUAUCUAAUCUUUCAAAAUUUGAAAUAUUAGAUAAUUAACUCAAAAUGAUUCAUAGUUCAAAUAAGUUAUGUAAAGUUGUACCUAAAUUAAAAUUUAAUACAAGAAACAAAUGUAUAUGGCCCUUUUGAGUAAUGCUGCUCUUAUAUAAUGUUUAUAUACUCUUGUAUAAACAAUAUAUAUGAGUUUUUUAUUGGCUUAUGAACAUAGGUUAAAGCGUUUAUAUGAUCAUUGAGCCAAUGAUCAUAUUAGAGCAUAAACAAAAACUUAAUAUAGUGUUUUCCCUUUUGGCCACAUUUAAUAUUUGAUGACCAAUGUUUUAAACCUAACCUACAAUAUCCAGGAAACCUAUAAUAUAUAAUGGAAAUGGAAAUUAUAAUAUUUAAUAUCUAUUACGGGUAAGAUAAAAAAAUUUAUAUAUAAACAAAGAACUAUCGGUUGAUUUGAUUUGUAUCAGUGUUCAGAAUUUAUCAUUUUAAUUGUUAAGAACAUACCCAACAAACUAAAUUCUUAUUUUGGAAUAAUAGAUUAUGCCCCCUAAUCGGAAACAAUACGUAAAAAACAAAAAUUUGGCGAGUUUUUCCCAGGAAAGAAAAGUCAAAAACAAUAUAGAAUUUUUAACUUUUUAAAAUUUAAGUAUUUUGAAAGAAUUAAGGGGGUGUUUGAUGAUUUUCCCAAAAAAAUUUUCUAGCUUAGAAAAACUAUUUUUUUCUGGAAAAAAAGUUAGAUUUUAUAAAAAAAUUCGUUUAGAAAAUGAAAAAUCAAACAUCCUCUAAACAAGUUAUAGAUUCUCACGCUUCUCCGAGGAAUCAAGUAUAGGGUAAAGCAUUUAUCAGAGAAAAAGACAAAAAAUAAAGGGUUAAAUGCAUACAGGUCCCUGCAAAUAUAGUCAAUUGCGAAAAUAUCCCUACAAAACGGAAACUUCAUAAGUUAUCCCUGUAAAAGUCUAAAGUUAUGCAGAUAUGUCCCUGCCGUUAAGGACUGUUAGAAAAUUUUUAUUAACCACGGUUAAAGUACUUAACCAUGGUUAAUUAUAACGUAAAUUUACGAUUCUACCCUUCUUCUUCUUCCCCCUCUUCUUCUUCCCUCUUCUUCGUCGCCGGCGAGGGCGGCGGCGGCAGCGGCGGCGGCGGCAGCUACGACGGCGGCGACGGCAAAUCCUCUCUCUUUCUUUUCCUCCUUCUUCCUCUCCCUCUUCCCUUUUCUCCCUUCUUCUUCCUCUUCCUUUUCCUCUUCCCUCUUCUUCAUCGCCGGCGAGGGAGAAGAUCCGACGGCGGCAGCGAAUCCUCUCCCUCUCCCUCUUCUUCUUCCUCUUCCUCUUUCUCUUUCUUUUCCUUUUCCUCUUCCUCUUCCUCUUCCCUCUUCUUCGUCGCCGGCGAGGGAGGAGAUGCGGCGGCGGCGCGCGGCGAUGAACCCUUUCCCUCUUCAUCUUACUCUUCCUUCUUCCUCUCCCUCUUCCUCUCCUUCUUCCUCUUCCUUUUUUUUCUUCCUCUCAUUCUUUCUCUUCCCUCUUCUUCGUCGCCGGCGAGCUCAACCCGCGCCGUCGCCGCCAUCCGCUCCGGCGGCCCGAAGAGGAAGAGGAAGAGGAAGAGGAAGAGGAAGAGAAAGAGAAUGGGAAGAUGCUUUUGGAGGGAUAUAUUUGUGAGGGCAAAAUGGUCAUUUCACAUGAAAACUUUUAAAAAAUAAACAGUUCUCUAACAGAUGUUAAUCAGAGGGACAUAUCUGCAUAAAUUAGGACUUUUGCAGGGACAACUUAUGGAGUUUCCGUUUUGCAGGAAUAUUUCCGCAAAUCACUAUGUUUGCAGGGACGUAUAUGCAAAUAACCCAAAAAUAAAUUAGCGGAAGUACACUUCAAUAUGAUACGGAUAGUUUCAUGUUAUUUGUUAUUCUACUACUUUAGUAUCUGUCGUAUGAUGGCAACGUAUAUAAUGACAGAUGGAAUAAUACGUAUAGAUACUAAAGUAGUAGAAUAACAAAUAGAAUAGGGUUAUAUAGGGUUGCUUUAACAUGAAACUAUCCAUAUCAUAUUGAAGUGUACUUCCACUAAUUUCUUUUUUGUCUUUUUCUCUGAUAAAUGCUUUACCCCAUACUUGAUUCCUCGGAGAAGCGUGAGAAUCUAUAACUUGUUUAGAGGAUGUUUGAUUUUUCAUUUUCUGAACAAAAUUUUUUAUAAAAUCUAACUUUUUUUUUCAGAAAAAAAUAAUUUUUCUAAGGGUGUGUUUGGUUCCAUAUAAAACUGUAGAAAAAAAUUUUUCAGUGAAAAAAUUUUUCGGUGGAAAAAUGGUUUUACAUCGUUAGUGUUUGGAUAGUAGGAAAAGAAAAAUAAUUUUUCAUAGCGGUUGUUUGAUUGGAAAAAAAAAAACGAUUUAAUAUUUUUUAUUAUAUAUUAUUAAUAUAUAAUAAUUAAUAUAUUUUAUAUANCAAACAUCCCUGCACAUACGUUUAUUGAUACAUAUUAUAUCUCUCUCUCUCUCUCUCAUAGUGAAUUGCAGAAAUAUCCCUGCAAAACGGAAACUCCAUAAGUUAUUCCUGCAAAAGUCUAAAGUUAUGCAGAUAUGUCCCUGCCGUUAAGGACUGUUAGAAAAUUUUCGUUAACCACGGUUAAAGUACUUAACCAUUGUUAAUUAUAAUGUGAAUUUACGGUUCUACCCUUCUUCUUCUUCCUCCUCUUCUUCUUCCCUCUUUUUCGUCGCCGGCGAGGGCGGCGGCGGCAGCGACGGCGGCGACGAUGGUGAACCCUUUCUCUUUCUUUUCCUCCUUCUUCCUCUCCCUCCUCUUCCCUUUUCUCCCUUCUUCUUCCUCUCCCUCUUCCUCUUCCCUUUUCUUCAUCGCCGGCGAGGGAGAAGAUGCGACGGCGGCGGCGAACCCUCUCCCUCUCCCUCUUCUUCUUCCUCUCCCUCUUUCUUUUCCUCUUCCUCUUCCUCUUCCCUCUUCUUCGUCAUCGGCGAGGGAGGAGAUGCGGCGGCGGCGAGCGACGACGAACCCUUUCCCUAUUCAUCUUUUUCUUCCCUCUUCCUCUCCCUCUUCCUCUUCCCUUUUUUUCUUCCUCUCAUUCUUUCUCUUCCCUCUUCUUCGUCGCCGGCGAGCUCGACCCGCGUCGUCGCCACCAUCCGCUCCGGUGGCCCGAAGAGGAAGAGGAAGAGAAAGAGAAGGGGAAGAUGAUACUUUUGGAGGGAUAUAUUUGUGAGGGCAAAAUGGUCAUUUCACAAGAAAAACAGUUUUCUAACAGAUGUUAAUCAGAGGGACAUAUCUGCAUAAAUUAGGACUUUUGUAGGGACAACUUAUGGAAUUUCCGUUUUAUAGGGAUAUUUCCGCAAUUCACUAUAUUUGCAGGGACGUGUAUGCAAAUAACCCUAUUUAUAAAUAUGUAUAAUAAUUUUUUACCAUCUUAUAUAUAUAUAUAUAUAGAUAUAUAGAAUUAAGCUCCUAUGCUUUUAAAAGUACAAGUCAUUGGUACUUGUAAGUUUUCGGCUCUUGGAUUAAGGGAUGUGCGGUUAUGAUGAUGUGAGCCCCCUAGGGUUGAGUGGGUAGUUGGUUGAAUAGUAUACUUUAACGGUUGAAAAUGAUCAAAGACGUAGAUCUAACGGUAAAAAACUUACAAGUACCAAGUGCUUGGUGCUUUUACAAGCACCAUAGCCGGACUAUAUAUAUAUAUAUAUAAAGAGAGAGAGAGAGAGAGAGAGAGAGUCCGGUUACUAUGCUAUCGGUAGCAUGGAGCGCCCCGUGUUACCAAGUUGUUUUCGAUGAUGCGGCUUCCAAAUCGACGAUCGGCUCUGUUAGACUUGAUCUACACUAUUGAAAGUAUUUGGAAACUAAAUUUCAGAUUUUUUCGACAUUAUUUGAUUAGUGAUCAAAAGAUCUCAAAAUUGACAAUUUUAAUGGCCGAUGUGGUGUGUUUGUGAGUUUAACGAUGUAAAACAAUCCAAAUGCGAUGAGAAUUUUAUAGAAAAUUCUUUUCACUAUUUAGAGUAAAAUCAGUAUACCUGAUCUUGAAUUAAAAUCUUUUAUCAUCAUUUUUCAUGAGAUUUUUAUUUUCAGCCAUUCAAUUUUAGACUACUUGUUUGAUAGGUAAAUGAUAUCGAAAAAUUAUGAAAUUUAGUUUCUAAAUAUUUUUAAUAGUGUAGAUCAAGUCUAGCGGAGCCGAUCGUCGAUUUGAAAGUCGCAUCAUCGAAAACAACUUGGUAGCACGGAGCGCUCCGUGCUACCGAUAGUAUAGUAGCCUAGUUAUAUAUAUAUAUAUAGAGUUGGACUUGGCUAUUAUUAGUAGCAAAAUCCCAUUGUUGCUACCAGAUUUUUAGCCUUUGGAUCAACUCUUUUCAUUAUUUCUAACCAUUGGAUUAAAUAUUAUAACCUAGUGGGGACCACUCAACCCUAGGGGGACCACUCAACUCUAACCGACUAAUAUCAUCCUAAUCAUACAAUUUUUCAUCCAAGGAUUAAAAAAUUAAUAGUAAAAAAAGCGUUUUACUAUAUAUAUAUAUAUAUAUAUAUAUAUAUAUAUAUAAUAUAUAUAUAUAAAAAAGAGAG